GUCAAAUAAACGAAGGCUCACGGUGGAGACCUAGGGACUCAGAGACGAAGAAGGGCGCAGGUACCGGCGAAACGCUUCGGGGAGCUGGCAACAAGCUUUGAUCCGGAGAUCCCCGAAUAGGGCAACCUCGAGAACUACCUAUACAAUUCAUAGUUAGGAAAGAGACAACCUGGUGAACUGAAACAUCUUAGUAGCCAGAGGAAAAGAAAGCAAACGCGAUUCUCGUAGUAGCGGCGAGCGAAACGGGAACAGCCUAAACCAAUCUCUUCGAUUGGGGUAGUGGGAAGACAUUUUUUAUUUUUCUUCAUACUUCAGGGUAUGAACGAAAAAUAUAUUUUUCGAACAAGCGAUAAACCGCAUCUGUGAACACAUGAAAACGAUAAAAAGCCAAUGUGUGCACGUGUUUAUGAAUAAAAGCAAAGACGAAGCAGCUGAAUCCUGCACCAUAGAUGGUGAAAGUCCAGUAGUCGUAUUUUAAAAAUAACACCGCAUAAGAGCGAUGAUGCGCGAAGACUCAAUUCAUUUGAUUCGAAUUGUCUAAUCCCGAGUAGCAUGGGGCACGUGGAAUCCCGUGUGAAUCUGCGAGGACCACCUCGUAAGGCUAAAUAUUCCUGAGUCACCGAUAGCGAAAUAGUACCGCGAGGGAAAGGUGAAAAGAACCCCCGUAGGGGAGUGAAAUAGAACAUGAAACCGUCAGCUGACAAGCAGUGGGAGGGCUAUGGGCCUGACCGCGUGCCUGUUGAAGAAUGAGCCGGCGACUUAUAGGAAGUGGCAGGGUUAAGAAGUUUCGUUCGUAGCCCAAGCGAAAGCGAGUCUGAAUAGGGCGUCUAGUCACUUCUUAUGGACCCGAACCCGGAUGAUCUAACCACGACCAGGAUGAAGCUUGGGUAACACCAAGUGGAGGUCCGAACCGACCGAUGUUGAAAAAUCGGCGGAUGAGUUAUGGUUAGCGGAGAAAUUCCAAUCGAAUUCGGAGCUAGCUGGUUCUCCCCGAAAUGCGUUGAGGCGCAGCGGUGACGACGAACUUCCUUGGGGUAAAGCUCACUGUUUCGAUACGGGCUGCGAAAGCGGUACCAAGUCGUGGCAAACUCAGAAUACAAGGAAAUGUUUUCCGUCAACCAGUGAGACGGUGGGGGAUAAGCUUCAUCGUCAAGAGGGAAACAGCCCAGAUCACCAGCUAAGGCCCCUAAAUGGCCGCUAAGUGGAAAAGGAUGUGAGAAUGCUGAAACAACCAGGAGGUUUGCUUAGAAGCAGCCACCCUUCAAAGAGUGCGUAAUAGCUCACUGGUAAAGCGUUCUUGCGCCGACAAUGGCCGGGACUAAGCGGCCUGCCGAAGCUGUGAGAUUUUUUUAUAAAAAAAUAAAAAAAUCGGUAGGGGAGCGUUCUGCUUCGGGUGAAGCUUUCAUGUAAAUGGCAGUGGACGGAGCGGAAGUGAGAAUGUCGGCUUGAGUAACGAAAACAUUGGUGAGAAUCCAAUGCCCCGAAAACCUAAGGGUUCCUCCACAAGGUUCGUCCGUGGGGGGUGAGUCAGGACCUAAGGUGAGGCCGAAAGGCGUAAUCGAUGGCAAACAGGUUAAUAUUCCUGUACUGAUUCUGGUGGGAACCGAGGGACGAAGAAGGCUAAGCUAGAUCUGUGCAUGGAAUGCAGUGGAAGCGUUUAGGCGAUGACAGGUAGAACAAAAACUAUCCUGGAGCUGAGGCGUGAUCCCGCUCUCUGGAACUCGUUCCGGUUGAGCGCUAGUGAUGUCAUACUUCCAAGAAAAGCUCGUGCACCUCUCUCUUGUUUACAAGGGAGAACAAACACCAGAAUCACCUGUACCUGAAACCGACACAGGUAGGUAGGUAGAGAAUACUAAGGGGCGCGAGAUAACUCUCUCUAAGGAACUCGGCAAACUGGCCCCGUAACUUCGGAAGAAGGGGCGCCCUCUGAGAAGAGGGUCGCAGUGACCAGGCCCAGGCGACUGUUUACCAAAAACACAGGUCUCAGCAAAGUCGUAAGACAACAUAUUGGGGCCGAUGCCUGCCCAGUGCCGGAAGGUGAAGGAAGUUGGUCAUCCGCUUUCGCGGAGAAGCUGACGACCGAAGCCCCGGUGAACGGCGGCUGUAACUAUGACAGUCCUAAGGUAGCGAAAUUCAUUGUCGAGUAAGUUUCGACCUGCACGAAAGGCAUAACGAUCUGGGCGCUGUCUCGGAGAGAGGCUCGGUGAAAUAGACUUGUCCGUGAAGAUGCGGACUACUUGCAUUUGGACAGAAAGACCCUAUGAAGCUUCACUGCAGGCUGGCAUUGGGUUCGGGCUUUUCUUGCGCAGUCUAGGUGGGAGGCUUUGAAGGUUUCCUUCCGGGGAAGCUGGAGCCAUCAGUGAGAGACCACUCUGGAAAGGCUAGAAUCCUAAUGGUGAUCCUUGAAUCAGGACACUUGACAUUGUCAGCUAGACAGUUUUUCUGGGGCGGAAGGCUCCUAAAAGGUAACGGAGCUGUGCAAAGGUUCCCUCAGUCUGGACGGAAAUCAGACGUGGAGUGUAAAGGCAAAAGGGAGCUUGACUGCAAGACCUACAAGUCGAGCAGGAGCGAAAGCUGGCCUUAGUGAUCCGACGGUACCGUGUGGAAGGGCCGUCGCUCAACGGAUAAAAGUUACUCUAGGGAUAACAGGCUAAUCUUAUCCAAGAGUUCACAUCGACGAUAAGGUUUGGCACCUCGAUGUCGGCUCAUCACAUCCUGGAGCGGUAGUACGUUCCAAGGGUUGGGCUGUUCGCCCAUUAAAGUGGUACGUGAGCUGGGUUCAGAACGUCGUGAGACAGUUCGGUCCAUAUCCGAUGCAAGCGCUAGAGCAUUGAGGGGAGUCUUCCAUAGUACGAGAGGACCUGUGAAGAACAUGCCAAUGGUGUAUUAGUUAUCUUUCCAAAGGUAAACGCUAAGUAGCUACGCAUUGAGUGGAUAAGUGCUGAAAGCAUCUAAGUACGAAGCCCACCUCAAGAUGAAUGCUCUCUAUCAGGUCGCGGCAAGAACAGCCGUCGAUAGGUAUCAGGUGUAAGAUCAGCAAUGAUUUCAGCCGAGAUAUACUAAAGGCCGAUUGAUUUUGAC
This 3081-nucleotide ribosomal RNA is filed under the name Bracteacoccus minor. RNAcentral's name for it is "LSU rRNA". It matches the Rfam family "Bacterial large subunit ribosomal RNA". The record is from RNAcentral. Lineage: Eukaryota; Viridiplantae; Chlorophyta; Chlorophyceae; Sphaeropleales; Bracteacoccaceae.